Molecule: long non-coding RNA, 1423 nt
Organism: Choloepus didactylus (southern two-toed sloth)
Lineage: Eukaryota; Metazoa; Chordata; Mammalia; Pilosa; Megalonychidae
Exons: 4
Source: RefSeq, a predicted model, not a curated record
ACCCACAGAGGGUCCUCAUGAGGCUCUUUGGAGGGGAGCAUUUUCUGUUAUUAGACAAAAUUCUUCCACUGGUUUCAGUAGCCAUGUGAGGAGCAACUUGGACUUUACAAUUAAAAACAAAACAGAAGGCAUCUGAGCUUCAACCCAUUCUCUGCUACUGACCACUGGUCAUUUGAGAGAAUCUGAAUUAUGGCUAUUCGAUGCAGUCCUUUGAUGAGCUAGCUACAUGGUGUAACAUGCACAUGAGCUGGGCUGGUGCUGACAUCUUUCAAAAGAGGUCUCCUUUUUAUUCCAGAGACUUGAAAAAAAGGCAAUUCAGAGAUAUCUGGUGAAUGGAUUUAUUUCUGAUUUAAAUUGCCCGGGUGCCAAAUGAGUGAAGAUAGAGCGAAAUCCCUGCAGUGCAAUAUUAACGGAAGCCACUAGAGGGCAAGCGUACUUCGUGCCGUGACGGGAUAGCAAGCUGAGGCUUUAAUUCUGAGCAUGAUUGAGCAGCGAAGGUGACCUGAGCAGAGGUUAGCGAGAGCCCAUUAUUGUAAAAGAAGAGGUCAGUCAAUCAAGUGACAGGGAUGAAAUCUCAUUUGAGUCACUUUGACGCAAAGCUGACCAGUUAUAUCCAUCAGAGCCCAUAGGAACUGAAAACCAAAAGACAAGAGUAUCGUUUUGAUGGAGGUGAACUCUAGGGGGAGAAAAGGGUGAAACAACUAGGUUAACCAGUUUUACCUUUACAUGAGAGCAGUGGGGGCGUUUUUAAACACAUUUAAUGGGCUACUGAAAACAUGGCCCAACCUGAUGCAAUCCGAACAAAGGAACAGGAUGAGCAGUGCUGUUUUAACUGAAAAUAAUAGCUUAUCUAUUGCUGAAACAUGACCCCCAAUGGGAUGUCCAUAUUUAUGGGAACUUGUUCAUUUGGAAACUGAUGCCUAUUUGAAUAUAAGCAUGACCUUCCUAAGAUAGACUGUAUGCAGACAGUCUCAAUUAGGUUUAACGUCUUGGGGUUCUUCUGAAAAUUUACAAAAGCUACACAAAUAUGAAAUUAUCCUGUAAAAACAAAGUCAGAGUUUCUUAAAGGAGGUUGAUGUGUCACGUGCCUCAGACUUACUUGGGGAUUGUUGCUAAGAUUUUAAUUCCAAGGUUCCACCCCAGAUCUUCCCAAUCAGAAUUAUUAGGUAGGGCCUAGGCAUUAAUUAGCAAUGUUCAUAAGGACCUUAGGUGAUUCCUUUAUAUGCAAGGCCAUUUGAGGACAAAGAAGUUUGGUAUCCCCUGGGACACCUGCCUGAUGAUACUUUCUGUGUUAGGCAAUUUUUGUUUGGUCAGGCUCUAAAUUGCAGCUCAGGGUUGCAAUCUAUUUGCUUACACACAAAUACCCAGUUUUAUAAAGUGGGCAUGGCCUCACUUGUGUGGAUUGCUUGUAUUUGGUUGCAAA